UACGGAAGGCAGCAGUGGGGAAUAUUGCACAAUGGGCGCAAGCCUGAUGCAGCCAUGCCGCGUGUAUGAAGAAGGCCUUCGGGUUGUAAAGUACUUUCAGUCGUGAGGAAGGUGUUAAGGUUAAUAACCUUAGCAAUUGACGUUAGCGACAGAAGAAGCACCGGCUAACUCCGUGCCAGCAGCCGCGGUAAUACGGAGGGUGCGAGCGUUAAUCGGAAUUACUGGGCGUAAAGGGCACGCAGGCGGUUAAUUAAGUUGGAUGUGAAUCCCCGGGCUUAACCUGGGAAUGGCAUUCAAGACUGGUUAGCUAGAGUCUUGUAGAGGGGGUAGAAUUCCAUGUGUAGCGGUGAAAUGCGUAGAGAUGUGGAGGAUACCGGUGGCGAAGGCGGCCCCUGGACAAAGGCUGACGCUCAUGUGCGAAAGCGUGGGGAGCAAACG
RNAcentral lists this ribosomal RNA (438 nucleotides) under uncultured bacterium. RNAcentral's name for it is "bacterial SSU rRNA". It matches the Rfam family "Bacterial small subunit ribosomal RNA", at positions 340 to 774 of the family's 1533-position model. The record is from RNAcentral.